UCCCUGGUGGCUCAGACGGUAAAGCGUCUGCCUGCAAUGCAGGAGACAUGGGUUCGAUCCCUGGGUUGGGAA
RNAcentral lists this transfer RNA (72 nucleotides) under Ovis aries (sheep). It matches the Rfam family "tRNA". Rfam says of the family: Transfer RNA (tRNA) molecules are approximately 80 nucleotides in length. Lineage: Eukaryota; Metazoa; Chordata; Mammalia; Artiodactyla; Bovidae. The record is from Rfam by way of RNAcentral.